GGGAACCUACGGGGGGCAGCAGUAGGGAAUCUUCCACAAUGGGCGAAAGCCUGAUGGAGCAACGCCGCGUGGGUGAAGAAGGUCUUCGGAUCGUAAAACCCUGUUGUUAGAGAAGAAAGUGCGUGAGAGUAACUGUUCACAUUUCGACGGUAUCUAACCAGAAAGCCACGGCUAACUACGUGCCAGCAGCCGCGGUAAUACGUAGGUGGCAAGCGUUAUCCGGAUUUAUUGGGCGUAAAGGGAACGCAGGCGGUCUUUUAAGUUUGAUGUGAAAGCUUUGGGCUUAACCGGAGUAGUGAAUUGGG
This 305-nucleotide ribosomal RNA is filed under the name uncultured bacterium. RNAcentral's name for it is "bacterial SSU rRNA". It matches the Rfam family "Bacterial small subunit ribosomal RNA", at positions 333 to 630 of the family's 1533-position model. The record is from RNAcentral.